Non-coding RNA from Linepithema humile (Argentine ant), 484 nucleotides. NCBI's taxonomy places the organism in Eukaryota, Metazoa, Arthropoda, Insecta, Hymenoptera, Formicidae. The record is from RefSeq and is a predicted model, not a curated record.
GUCGGUUUGGUACGCAAAAUUUUCCGUAAUUUAUCGCGUAUUUUGUCGUACGUGAGUGCAAAUUUUUAUCAGAAAUUUCGAUUAAAGUGACGAGCAAAUUCGGGAACGUAUCAAUUAGAUUUAGAUGUUCGCGAUUAACGGCAUUUCGUCGAUCGAUUGAUGCUGUUAAGAUGUGUGAAUUGUUAAGAUGUGUGAAUCUAGUUACAAUCUCAGUAAGAUAUUCAUCGAUUUUUGAAUGAAGCUGAUAUGUAGAGUGUCGACCGACAAUAUAAAGACGGAAUCUGUAAGGAUGAGAGCAGACUGCAGCAUGCAAGUUCGUGUUUCAGAUAUUCAUCAAUUUUUCUGGAGUUGAUCGCCAACGAUUUCAAAGCAAAAUCUACAGCGGCUGGAACAAAUUGCAGCGUUCAAGUUGGGACUCCACCUAGCCUUCCAUGAAAGGAGACAUGUUGUCGACGAAGGGCGGCAGGUUGCAGGAUGUACACGG